RNAcentral lists this long non-coding RNA (358 nucleotides) under Populus tremula. RNAcentral's name for it is "long non-coding RNA (PTRE_LNC001911)". Lineage: Eukaryota; Viridiplantae; Streptophyta; Magnoliopsida; Malpighiales; Salicaceae. The record is from RNAcentral.
AUGUGUAUAAUAUGUUAAUUAAGCUUUAAUUUCAGUUUUGAUGAAUGUUAGGGUUUUGAGAAUUUGUGUUUGAUUUAAAUUGAUGAAUUAAUUUGAAGGUUAUAAGGUUAAUUGUUGUAGGUAAUUGAUUAUUAAGUUGAUUAUGGAAGAUUAUGAUGAUUUUGAGUUAUGGUUUUGUUUGAAUGGUGAAAUUGUGUUAGAAAUCAGGGGAUAACAGUAGGUGAUCUGUUGAAAUUCUGGGUUUGAGGUUGAAGAUGACGAAAAUUCAAAUUGGUCCCUCAAUUUCCGAAAAUUACAGUUUAGUCCCCGAACUUUGGAAAAUUACAAAUUGGUCCCUGGAGCAUAUUCCGAGAUUCUG